UUAAGACAUGCAAAUCGUUGUUUCCAAAGUCCUUAAUUAAUUAAUAUUUUUAAUAUUAAUGGGAUCCGGGGAUAAGGUGUAGAGGUGAGUAUGUUAAAUAAGAUACCCUAUAGUCUUCUUAGCUAGGAGAUAUAAAGUAAAGGAAAAUUUCUGCUAUAGGAUUCUAUUUAAUUUGAUUAGGUAGUUGAUAGGGUAACGGCCUACCAAGCCAACGAUCAAAAGUCAAGUUUGAAAGAACCUCUGGCCACAUUGGGGAUGAAAUCUCCCAAGUAGUAAUAACACUCCCAGCAGUCGAGAAUAUUAGUCAAUGCUCGUAAGAGUGAACUAGCUAACUGAAAUCAUAGAAUUUUUUCAAAUUCAUGAUGUCGUAAGGGAAAAUAAUGAUAAUACCUUACUAUGAGUGUCGUCCAAAUCUGGUGCCAGAAGACUCGGUAAGACCAGAGACGCAAACGUUAAUCAUCAUAAACAGGCGUAAAGGGUUUGUAGGCAGCUUUUAUAAAAAUAUCAAAAACUAAAUUAAAAGCUAGAAUCAAAAAGAGGUUAUAGUGUAUAACGCCUAGAGGAGGGCUGAUAUCCAUAGAUCCUAGGCAGAAUACUCAGGGCGAAGGCCACUCUCCCACUAAUGAUUGACGCUGAGAAACGAAGGUUAGGGUAGGAAAUAGGAUUAGAUACCCCGGUACUCCUUUUCUGUAAACGAUGAAUGGUAGUCAUUAGUUAAAUUAAAAUAACUAGAGGCGAAGUUAACACAAUAACCAUUCCGCCUUGUGAGUACUACUGCAAAGUAGAAAACAAAAAAAUUAGUCGGUCUCGAAGCAAACGGAGUGAAGCAUGUUAUUUAAUACGAUAAUCCGCGUAAAACCUUUCCAGAACUUGCAUACAAACUAUAAAUUUUCUUUCCUGAAAAGGUAGAGGGAGUAUUAGGAGUUU
Molecule: ribosomal RNA, 927 nt
Filed under: Ganoderma sp. 4 TRK-2010
Lineage: Eukaryota; Fungi; Basidiomycota; Agaricomycetes; Polyporales; Polyporaceae
Description: SSU rRNA
Rfam family: Bacterial small subunit ribosomal RNA
Source: RNAcentral